RNAcentral lists this ribosomal RNA (253 nucleotides) under uncultured microorganism. Its description in RNAcentral is "partial 16S ribosomal RNA". It matches the Rfam family "Bacterial small subunit ribosomal RNA", at positions 524 to 776 of the family's 1533-position model. The record is from RNAcentral.
UACGGAGGGGGCGAGCGUUGUUCGGAGUUACUGGGCGUAAAGCGCACGUAGGCGGUGCGGUAAGUCAGGGGUUAAAGGCUGCAGCUCAACUGCAGUAAGGCCUUUGAUACUAUCGUGCUAGAGUGUCAGAGAGGAUGGCGGAAUUCCCGGUGUAGCGGUGAAAUGCGUAGAUAUCGGGAGGAACGCCGGUGGCGAAGGCGGCUUCCUGGCCCGUUACUGACGCUGAGGCACGAAAGCCAGGGGAGCGAACCGG